GACAGAGGUGCCGAGCGUUAGGCGGAAUCACUGGGCUUAAAGCGUGUGUAGGCGGAUGCCUAAGUACCUUGUGAAAUCCCACGGCUUAACCGUGGAACUGCUUGGUAUACUGGGUGUCUUGAGCCACUUAGGGGCUACCGGAACAAAUGGUGGAGCGGUGAAAUGCGUAGAUAUCAUUUGGAACGCCAAUGGUGAAAACAGGUAGCUGGGGCUGUGCUGACGCUGAGACACGAAAGCCAGGGGAGCGAACGGG
This 253-nucleotide ribosomal RNA is filed under the name uncultured bacterium. RNAcentral's name for it is "partial 16S ribosomal RNA". It matches the Rfam family "Bacterial small subunit ribosomal RNA", at positions 524 to 776 of the family's 1533-position model. The record is from RNAcentral.